GGAAACAAUCCUUACCCCGCGAGCCAAGACAGGCAGGGCUGUCCUGGGGAUCUCUUUGCCCUACAAGAGGGCUUCCUAAUACUGGGUGUGAGAGAAGAGGGCUUUCUCCUGGUGUGCCCAGGCCACUUCGGCCGGGAGAGGCCAGCGGAAGGCCAGACUUAAUGCUUUUACACGAACGAUCGUACCAGUCUUUUGCCAAAAGGAUGUUCUCUAUUUGGCGCAGUGUAAUUGUGUAUUUGAAAAUAUCAAGGGGGAGCAAACGGACCCAGCGUCAAGUGAACAGCUGCUGCUCCAUUGAGCUGAUUGUUCCAUUAUGAAAAUGGCUUGCAGGAUCUUACAGGAUCGAACCCAGACCCACAGGAGUGAAAGCGCUGAGUCUUAACCACUGGACUGCCAGGAAAUUCCCUUGUUUGACUUAAAUCAGGGUGAAAUUCAUGAAAGAAUAUAAGGAAACUGGGAGGUUUGACCCUGGAUAGGAACAGGAUGCUUCCACUGUGGAAAUUAGAGUAACAAGGGUGAAGAUGGAUGCAGAUGCAGGGGAGAGCUCUGAAUACAUGAGGAAGGAGAGUAGGAGACUGGUGAGAAGGUAAGGUUGGAAGAGGGCAAAAGGAAAGGAGGUGGGGUGGGGGGAUCCAGUGCCCACUGACCCAAUAAACUGUAUCCUGGACUA
Long non-coding RNA from Bos taurus (domestic cattle), 670 nucleotides. The record is from Ensembl. Lineage: Eukaryota; Metazoa; Chordata; Mammalia; Artiodactyla; Bovidae.